CCUACGGGGGGCAGCAGUGGGGGAUAUUGCACAAUGGGGGGAACCCUGAUGCAGCGACGCCGCGUGGGUGAAGAAGCGCCUCGGCGCGUAAAGCCCUGUCAGCAGGGAAGAAAAUGACGGUACCUGAAGAAGAAGCCCCGGCUUAAUACGUGCCAGCAGCCGUGGUAAUACGUGGGGGGCAAGCGUUAUCCGGAUUUACUGGGGGUAAAGGGGGCGCAGACGGGGGUGCAAGCCAGGAGUGAAAGCCCGGGGCCCAACCCCGGGACAGCUGUUGGAACUGCGUGGCUGGAGUGGAGGAGGGGCAGGCGGAAUGCGUGGUGUAGCGGUGAAAUGCGUAGAUAUCAGGAGGAACACCGGUGGCGAAGGCGGCCUGCUGGACUGCAACUGACGUUGAGGCCCGAAAGCGUGGGGAGCAAACAGGAUUAGAUACCCUGGUAGUC
RNAcentral lists this ribosomal RNA (440 nucleotides) under uncultured bacterium. RNAcentral's name for it is "partial 16S ribosomal RNA". It matches the Rfam family "Bacterial small subunit ribosomal RNA", at positions 338 to 795 of the family's 1533-position model. The record is from RNAcentral.